UGUAUAUAUUUAUGAAGUUCGAUCAUAUUAUACUUUAGUAUUGUACCAUUCACAUUUAUAUUUUAUGCAAGUAAACUUCUUAUAUCUUCUAUAGCAUAAGAAGUUCCAUUCAUUCUGAUUUUAGUAUUAGGUUAACCUUUAUUCUCUACGCCUUUAAUAGCCUAUCAAUUUAUAAUAUAUUUUUGUUUUCUUCUUUAAAUAUUGGCCUAGAUUACUGCUCGUGCAGGUCGAAAAGAAUUUAUGGAAGUUUUAGUAUUCAAAACUAUAAAGAUUGUUAAGAGGUCAGAAAGGACAUAUAAGAAUCGACAACGGCUUUAUCUUUCUGAGCAGGUUUUGCAAGAAUCCAUUGAAGCAGUGAAACCAUAUUUGCUGCAAUUGAUUGAUUUAUAGGCCUUUUUGUAGGUUUGGUAGCCAAAUUUUGGUUCAAAUGUACUUAUUUAAAUAGCUUGUCCGUACCAAAACAUAUAUGUUAAUUGCUUCAUUGUACAAACAUUGUAC
Molecule: long non-coding RNA, 498 nt
Organism: Cucumis melo (muskmelon)
Lineage: Eukaryota; Viridiplantae; Streptophyta; Magnoliopsida; Cucurbitales; Cucurbitaceae
Exons: 3
Source: RefSeq, a predicted model, not a curated record